UCUGACCCUAGAGGGGUUGCAGGUGUGGUUGCUGUACCACAUGUGUAUCAGUAGAUGUCAGAGAGGAGAGAGGAAUGUCUGUGCUGUGUUCUGACCUGUGAACAUCUGAAUGAUUAGUAGCUAACACU
Mastomys coucha (southern multimammate mouse) is the source of this 128-nucleotide small nucleolar RNA. RefSeq annotates it as small nucleolar RNA SNORA17. The record is from RefSeq and is a predicted model, not a curated record. Lineage: Eukaryota; Metazoa; Chordata; Mammalia; Rodentia; Muridae. The transcript has a single exon.